RNA transcript from Equus quagga, 3810 nucleotides. It is a transcript of the gene named endonuclease V, with no coding region annotated. The transcript has 10 exons. The record is from RefSeq and is a predicted model, not a curated record. Lineage: Eukaryota; Metazoa; Chordata; Mammalia; Perissodactyla; Equidae.
CUCUUCCUCAAGCAAAAAGAGGAGGAUUGGCAAUAAAUGUUAGCUCAGGGCUAAUCUUCCUCACCAAAAAAAGAGAGAACAUCAGGUCAAAGGGCCCUGCGUGGUGGGUAAAGCCACCCACGUCCAGCCGCGUGGACAGUGCACUACCACAUCUCUGCCCUAAUAGGAUAGGUGCUAAGUGUACGGUUGCUCUGUCACUUGGGCCUGGAGAGAGGCUAGAUGGGAGGCGGAAGGAGGAAACCUGAGGCCUGGAGCUGAAUAACAAUCCCUCUAAGCCACGAUUCGCAUUUAUAUUGCUUUCUGCAUUUUCUAAUCCCUUCUGGUCACUAAUGAAGCUUAUGCUCGAGCAUUAUGAAUCCCGCUUCCAACUGGAAAAACAAACACCAGGAAAGUGCUUUCCCCCACAAAGAAAAUGCUGGCAGAAUUCACGCCUCAUCAGACUCUGAAGUGCAUUCUGGGGACAGCAGGACCCUGCCUCCUGAGGAGGUGGGAGUAUCUCGGGAAGCCACCCAGGGCAGGAGCAGAGAGACCAGAGGGCAAGGGUCCUGGCCAGAGCACCCGCACAGGGCCCGGGACUUCCAGAUCCUAAAACAACCUGCCCUCCUUGCCUUCACACAGUGCAGGUAAAAAUGUGAGCGUGGUGCCUGCUGUGCAACGGCUGCUCAAGAAAUGGUCCCCAUUCCCUCUCCCAGCUGAAAACUCACCAUCUCUCAAGGCUCCCCCAGUGGUCAAAUGCCGUAAGAAGCCUUUCCUGAAUCGCAAACUCUAAUCCUCGUCUUCCAUAUUUUCCUCUUGAGAUCUAUAUUCAGACUACAUCACUUAUCCAUAUACUUCUCUGAGUUCCCCUGGGAGAAUAUAAACCACGGAUGAAAUUGCUGCACGUGGGCCUGGCUGGCUGCUCUUCAGCACCGCAGAGGCACCAACCUCUUCCUACCUCAGGACCUUUACACAUGCUGUGCCCUUUACCUGAAAUGCUCUGUCUUCCUCGCCCUUCAGGUCACCUCUUAAAUACCACCCCUCAGAGAGGACUUUCCCACCUACAGUUUAAAGUAGGCUCCAGUAUUAUUCUCUCCGGAGCGCUUAGCACAAGUGCAGUCACACCCUGAGCCAGCUGUAAUCCCAGCAUCCAGCACAACGCCCAGAACGAAGAGACAAAUAUUCACGAAAUCGAGGAGCUCCAAGAAGAGCCAAUGUUCCAGAGCCAGUCCGUGUUUGGUCUGGUGGGUAAGGCUUUCUGCCCAAGAGCCACCCGGCGGAAUUUGUGCGUCUGCCGGGCUAAGGGCUGUGUCCUGCCCUCAAACACUUCAGACGGCCACUGAAACCGGAGUCAAGGUGCCGUGUAAACGGCAGAUGCUCCGGGACGGCCUUCGGGACACGCUGCCCCAAAAUGUGGCUGGCACCUUGGCACACUGAACAUCGUCAGCGGAAGGAGUCUGAGAGCACGGCGGAGGCAGGAAGGUCACCUGCUCGCCCGCCUCUCCCUCUGAAUCCGCCAGGUGGAAGGUCCGCUCCCGGUACCAAGAGGAAGGGAGACGUCCAUAUGGCCAGUGUCGGGGAAUGCAGGGCGGGGAGGCGUAUGAGCAAACCCUGCCGGGCCUUCACCGCUCACGACCCCUCCGUCUUGCCAAUUCUCCACAAAUUCAUUGUUUCUUUUUCUAAAAGGUAUAGAGCUUCCCGCUCCGGUCUUCGGGUCUUCAUUCUCCGGUGAAGCCUCCGCGUCUAGGGAAAAGUUCAGCAAACGUGCAUGCUUCUCUCCCGUCCAUCUGUGUCAGCUGAAUUUCCAGACCCGCGAGGACCGCAGGAGGGGACAACUUUCCUCCCUCCACGCAGGCCCCCCUGGCGCGGUCGGGGAAAGGCCGGCUCUGCCUGCCGGGCCGGGGCCGGGGCGGCGGCCGGCAGGUUCGGUCAGCCGGUCCAUCGGGCGCGGAGCGGCUGGCGGCUGCGGCCCCUCGGCGGACGGCGGCGGCCCGGCUCCCCUGCGCUGCUCGUCCUCCCGAGGGCGGCGUAGGAGGCGCGGCUGGAUGCGCGCAGGUGCCCUGCGGGGCCUCCGGCCACCAGGCGGCAGCGUCUGCGAAGCCCGACGGGCAGGCCCGAUCGGCCCCACCGAGCGUCGUCAUGGCAACGAAGGUCGUACGGCGCCUGCGCGCGGCGCAUCCGGAAGUGACAACACCGGAAGGGAUGCACGCGACUGCGCCAUGGCCCGGGAGGCGGUAGGGCGGCCGGCGGAGGAAACUUUCUCGCUCUGGAAACGGGAGCAAGCCCGGCUGAAGGCCCGCGUGGUGGACCGGGACACGGAGGCGUGGCAGCGGGACCCCGCCUUCUCGGGCCUGCAGAGGGUCGGGGGCGUGGAUGUCUCCUUUGUGAAGGGCGACAGUGUCAGCGCCUGCGCCUCCUUGGUGGUGCUCAGCUACCCUGAGCUCGAGGUGGUGUAUGAGGACUGCCGCAUGGUGAGCCUGACGGCCCCCUACGUGUCGGGCUUCCUGGCCUUCCGAGAGGUACCCUUCCUGGUGGACGCGGUGCGGCGACUGCGGGAGAAGGAGCCGUGCCUCAUGCCCCAGGUGCUUCUCGUGGAUGGAAAUGGGGUGCUCCACCACCGAGGCUUCGGGGUGGCCUGUCACCUCGGCGUCCUCACAGACCUGCCGUGCGUUGGGGUAGCCAAGAAACUCCUGCAGGUGGAUGGGCUGGAGAACAAUGCCCAGCACAAGGAGAAGAUACGACUUCUGCAGGCCAGAGGAGACUCAUUUCCUCUGAUGGGAGGCUCUGGGACCAUCCUGGGCAUGGCCCUGAAGAGCCACGACCACAGCACCAAGCCCCUCUAUGUCUCUGUGGGUCACAAGAUGAGCCUGGAGGCGGCCGUGCGCCUGACCCUUGGCUGCUGCAGGUUCCGGAUCCCAGAGCCGGUGCGCCAGGCUGAUAUCCGCUCCCGAGACUACAUCCGCAGGACCCUGGGAGUCCCUGGGCCCCCCGCCCCAGGGCGAGAGAGGAACCAGAAGGCACAGAGGCCAAAGGCAUGCCCCAAGGAGGGCUCAGAAGAGCCUGCAAGUGAGGGCAGGCCCCCUGAGGCCCACAGCGCAGGCCCCAGAACGCACCAGAAAGCCCCAGACCCAGUCGCCCAGGAACAGUAGGGUGUGGGCUGGGGACGGAGCUGGACAACACCAUGAAAACUCUCAGGCUGCCUGCCGCCCCCUCCAGCUUCGGAGCAGUAACUGGCCCUGGGGGAAUCGCCCCCACAACAGCAGAUGGGGUGCCAGGCCCUGAGCACAUGGCACGCAGCCCACUGGAGUGGCUGCCCCUCCCGCUGCACCGUUGGUCACGAGGGCUGGGCCAGCCCCGAGAGAGCUCAGCGGAAGGCGUUGCUCACAGAGCAGAGCGGCAGACCCGGCGAGCGUGUUUAGAAAUUAUCCACUGACUUCCUGCUGUGGGGAUUGAGUUUGUUCCUUCACACACAGCCCCUCACACACACACACACACACACACUCUUUCCUUCUACUCGUCUUCUCAUUUUGGUUGAAUCAGAAUUCCGUGUAUGCAUUAUUUCUUUACACAUACUAUUCACAGCUGAGUAACACAUGGUAAUUACAUCUCCUUUCUUGUACAGCCUCCUGUUUUUCCUGGACUUAAUAAUUGCCUCAUGUUUUGGGUUUGAUUUAUUUUCUUUGUACCCAUUACUUAUUUAUCCCCAAACUCUGCAAUGAAAAGAUAAAUCUCUUUUUGGUGCGUUAAAAACAUUAGGCAAGGGGCUGGCCCCGUGGCGCAGUGGUUAAGUGCGAGUGUUCCGCUUCGGCGGCCCGGGGUUCACCGGUUCGGAUC